GUAAAAGUGAAUGGAAAUCUAUGAAAUUUUGACACAAGGUUUAUGACCACAAAAGAACGGUUAGGAUUGAUUUUGGGAGUUUUGGUUUCAACAGUUUAGGAAUUAGGGGCCAAAAAAGGGCCCAAAUAAGCAUUUUCUUGGUUUUCGCACUAUAACUUUAGUUUAAGUUAAUAGAAAUCUAUGAAAUUUUGACACAAGGUUUAUGACCACAAAAGAACGGUUGGGAUUGAUUUUGGGAGUUUUGGUUUCAACAGUUUAGGAAUUAGGGGCCAAAAAAGGGCCCAAAUAAGCAUUAUUCUUGGUUUUCGCACAAUAACUUUAGUUUAAGUAAAUAGAAAUCAAUGAAAUUUAAACACAAUGUUAAUGACUACAAAAGGAAGGUUGGUAUUGAUUUUGGGAGUUUAGGUCCCAACAGUUUAGGAAUUAGGGG
Molecule: long non-coding RNA, 430 nt
Filed under: Mytilus galloprovincialis (Mediterranean mussel)
Lineage: Eukaryota; Metazoa; Mollusca; Bivalvia; Mytilida; Mytilidae
Source: RNAcentral